Molecule: non-coding RNA, 93 nt
Organism: Geobacteraceae bacterium GWB2_52_12
Lineage: Bacteria; Pseudomonadati; Thermodesulfobacteriota; Desulfuromonadia; Geobacterales; Geobacteraceae
Source: Rfam
GAUAUAAUAUAUCCAAAACAAAAUAAUUGCGGGGGUCUUUAUCGACCCUCAUCUGCCCUGGUAACGUUCCCUCCUAGUUGCCAGGGUGUUUUU